This is a non-coding RNA of Picea glauca (white spruce), 119 nucleotides long. Lineage: Eukaryota; Viridiplantae; Streptophyta; Pinopsida; Pinales; Pinaceae. The record is from Rfam.
GGGUGCGGUCAUACCAACAUUAAUGCACUAGAUCCCAUCAGAACUUCACAGUUAAGCACUGUUGGGCUAGAGUAGUACUAGGAUGGGUGACCUCUCUGGAAUUCCUAGUGUUUCACACU